Long non-coding RNA from Carassius gibelio (silver crucian carp), 1675 nucleotides. RefSeq lists it as uncharacterized. The transcript is spliced from 4 exons. The record is from RefSeq and is a predicted model, not a curated record. NCBI's taxonomy places the organism in Eukaryota, Metazoa, Chordata, Actinopteri, Cypriniformes, Cyprinidae.
CAAGGCGCGGCCAAGAGCCCCUUCCUUCACACGUGUAGACAAAGGGACCCAUCAACACAACCCUAAUAUGCAGGGAAAAGUUUUCCCGUGCGCGCGACUCCACGCCAGGACCUCGCGAGGCGCCCAGGCCAGAACUGUUUUAAACGGACGUCCUCUCAAGGAUUUAUUUCAUUAUUUUCUGCUGUGGGAUAUUACUUUCCUCCGGGAUUAUUAGACUGGCCAUAAUGAGAAUUAUUCUUUUCCACUUCUACAAACAACGGAGAAGCUAAAGAUCAGAUCUGUUGCAGUGGUGAUGACAGGAAGUGGAUGAUUUGCUCAAGAGGAGUCGUCUGGCGUGAGGGUUCAGCUCUUGUUGACUGAUCAAGAGAAGCAGAAGCAUGUCACGCUUGUGUUUUUGUGAUCUGCUGGCAGUCUGCUCACAUCCCACGCUCUGAGUCAGGCGUUCUAGCACUGAUCCAGGACCAGCCUCUGCAGACCCACCACAAGCUUCUGAAAGAGCGUGGAGCUGACUUCAGAUCAGCAGCUGAUGUGAUCUCAGACGCAGAUAAUCAAGUGUCUUCCUGAGGAAGAAGCAGGGCUAGCAGUGUGGCACGAAGGUCUCCUCCAGCCGGAUGUUUGCAGCGCUCAGUCACACACCUGCAGUGGGAUGCAGGCGACACGUUCAGCGUGACGAUGUUUACUGGCCUGCUGCGGUGGAGAUCUGCUGCUGAAGUCACACAGAUGGCUCUCUUCCAGAGGAUGCAUUUAGAAAUAUUUGGUGAAAGGAGAGCACUGGUGUGUGAGACCCUGUACAGACCAGACUCUUCAUGCCGCUCCAGGUGGGCUGCUGCUGUUAUGGUUGGUUUGAAGUGGGUUUUGUUGGUUUACCCACACAAUGCAUAAUGUUCACCAGCAAAACAUGAUCGAUGAUGCAGCAAGACUACUUCAAGUAAACAACAGCUCACACACUUGAUAGCAUUACUUUGUCACAUCACAUUCAAACUUGAAAUGACCUGAAAAAUACAUAUAUUUGAGUGUUUUUUAGUGUAGAGUAAGUUUGGUCAAAAUAAAGACACAUUUCAGUGUCGGCAGUGUUUACUGAGCUUUGAUGACUGAUGAUCCGAAUAUUAAAAAUAAUAACCGAACAUUAGUUUACAAGCUAGAUAUGCAUGGAUUUUAUUUAACGUGUUAAGUCAUUAUUUGGGAAUUAAUGUAAAGAAUAGUAUUUAUACUUGAGUUUAGAACAUAUCUAUUUCAGUGUAAACAUACAAAAUACAAUAGUUGUGUUUGUUAUUGGAGUGUGAGUAAUGUUUAACCUGGAAAAUGUCUUAUGAGUGUAACUGGAACACAAAUUUACAUUGAAUAAAACAGAAGCAAACAAACGAAGCCAGUCCUUAUUUUUGAAGCACCACACACGCAUUGGAACACACUGAUCAGUCGCCCUUCACGGCUUCAAGAAAUGUGACACACUUUCAAAACAAACACUUUCAAACAGGAAGCAGUGGGUUCAGCUACCAAGAAUAUUUCCAGACUGUUGGUGCAUUUGUGAGAAUACGAGACCAGCUUUGGUGUUGUCUUUCCUGACUGCAGGUGAUUUACAAUCAUUCAGACCCAAUCAUUACUCACUGACAAAUGUGUGCGCUUAUGAGUUUAGACACUGUGCACCCGUGUCGAUGGAGGUUCAGCGGUGCUGUGU